RNAcentral lists this ribosomal RNA (387 nucleotides) under Vibrio parahaemolyticus. RNAcentral's name for it is "bacterial LSU rRNA". It matches the Rfam family "Bacterial large subunit ribosomal RNA", at positions 510 to 899 of the family's 2925-position model. The record is from RNAcentral. Lineage: Bacteria; Pseudomonadati; Pseudomonadota; Gammaproteobacteria; Vibrionales; Vibrionaceae.
AAAGACGGAAAGAAGCCCUGGGAGGGGUGUGAAAUAGAACCUGAAACCGUGUACGGACAAGGAGUGGGGGCAGUCUUUGUCCUGUGACGGCGUACCUUUUGGAUAAUGGGUCAGCGACUUAGAUUCAGUGGCAAGGUUAACCAUCUAGGGGAGCCGUAGGGAAACCGAGUCUUAACUGGGCGUUCAGUCUCUGGAUAUAGACCCGAAACCAGGAGAUCUAGCCAUGGGCAGGUUGAAGGUUGAGUAACAUCAACUGGAGGACCGAACCGACUAAUGUUUAAAAAUUAGCGGAUGUAUUGUGGCUAGGGGGGAAGGGGCAAACAAACCUGGUGAAAGCUGGUUGUCACAGAAAGCUAUUUAGGUGGCGCUUGUGUCGAAUACUACUGG